Molecule: ribosomal RNA, 1358 nt
Filed under: uncultured bacterium
Lineage: Bacteria
Description: bacterial SSU rRNA
Rfam family: Bacterial small subunit ribosomal RNA
Source: RNAcentral
AACGCCAGCUACAGGCUUAACACACGCAAGUCGAGGGGGCAGCAUCUUAGUCUCGCUUCGCAAACUGAAGACGGCGACCGGCGCACGGGCGAGUAACACGUAUCCAACCUGCCGAUAACUCCGGGAUAGCCUUUCGAAAGAAAGAUUAAUACCGGAUAGUAUACGAAUAUCGCAUGAUAUUUUUAUUAAAGAAUUUCGGUUAUCGAUGGGGAUGCGUUCCAUUAGUUUGUUGGCGGGGUAACGGCCCACCAAGACUACGAUGGAUAGGGGUUCUGAGAGGAAGGUCCCCCACAUUGGAACUGAGACACGGUCCAAACUCCUACGGGAGGCAGCAGUGAGGAAUAUUGGUCAAUGGGCGCGAGCCUGAACCAGCCAAGUAGCGUGAAGGAUGAAGGCUCUAUGGGUCGUAAACUUCUUUUAUAUGGGAAUAAAGUUUUCCACGUGUGGAAUUUUGUAUGUACCAUAUGAAUAAGGAUCGGCUAACUCCGUGCCAGCAGCCGCGGUAAUACGGAGGAUCCGAGCGUUAUCCGGAUUUAUUGGGUUUAAAGGGAGCGUAGGUGGAUUGUUAAGUCAGUUGUGAAAGUUUGCGGCUCAACCGUAAAAUUGCAGUUGAAACUGGCAGUCUUGAGUACAGUAGAGGUGGGCGGAAUUCGUGGUGUAGCGGUGAAAUGCUUAGAUAUCACGAAGAACUCCGAUUGCGAAGGCAGCUCACUAGACUGUCACUGACACUGAUGCUCGAAAGUGUGGGUAUCAAACAGGAUUAGAUACCCUGGUAGUCCACACAGUAAACGAUGAAUACUCGCUGUUUGCGAUAUACAGUAAGCGGCCAAGCGAAAGCAUUAAGUAUUCCACCUGGGGAGUACGCCGGCAACGGUGAAACUCAAAGGAAUUGACGGGGGCCCGCACAAGUGGAGGAACAUGUGGUUUAAUUCGAUGAUACGCGAGGAACCUUACCCGGGCUUAAAUUGCAACAGAAUAUAUUGGAAACAGUAUAGCCGUAAGGCUGUUGUGAAGGUGCUGCAUGGUUGUCGUCAGCUCGUGCCGUGAGGUGUCGGCUUAAGUGCCAUAGCGAGCGCAACCCUUAUCUUUAGUUACUAACAGGUUAUGCUGAGGACUCUAGAGAGACUGCCGUCGUAAGAUGUGAGGAAGGUGGGGAUGACGUCAAAUCAGCACGGCCCUUACGUCCGGGGCUACACACGUGUUACAAUGGGGGGUACAGAAGGCGGCUACCUGGUGACAGGAUGCUAAUCCCAAAAACCUCUCUCAGUUCGGAUCGAAGUCUGCAACCCGACUUCGUGAAGCUGGAUUCGCUAGUAAUCGCGCAUCAGCCAUGGCGCGGUGAAUACGUUCCCGGGCCU